UACGGAGGGCGCAAGCGUUGUUCGGAAUCAUUGGGCGUAAAGCGCGUGUAGGCGGCUUGGUAAGUCGGGUGUGAAAUCCCGGGGCUCAACCCCGGAAUUGCAUUCGAAACUGCCUCGCUGGAGUCCCGGAGAGGGUGGCGGAAUUCCCAGUGUAGAGGUGAAAUUCGUAGAUAUUGGGAAGAACACCGGCGGCGAAGGCGGCCACCUGGACGGCGACUGACGCUGAGACGCGAAAGCGUGGGGAGCAAACAGG
Molecule: ribosomal RNA, 253 nt
Filed under: uncultured bacterium
Lineage: Bacteria
Description: partial 16S ribosomal RNA
Rfam family: Bacterial small subunit ribosomal RNA
Source: RNAcentral